ACCUUAGACAACGGAUGUCUUGGCUCUUUACACGAUGAAGAACGUUGCAUAAUGUGAUAAGCGGCUAGAAUUGCUUAAUUUGUGAUAAGUUCGAUCUUUGAAUGCACAUUGCGUAUUUAAUGAUUUUUAAUUAUUAAAUACAUAUAUUUAUAAGUAACCUAUUUUAAUUUAUUAAUCAUUUUUUUUUUAAAAAAUGUGAAAAAAAUUUAAAAUAUUUUUUUUUAAAGGUUCUUGUUUAUAUAGGAAAACCCACUGAACUGAAGCAUCUCAAUAAGUGGAGGAAAAUAAACUAACUAGGAUACUCUUAGUAAGUGCGACCGAAGAGAGUAAAGCUCAAUAAUCUAAACUUUAAAUUUUUAUAAUUUAAAGUCAUGUGAUUUUCUAAACUCAUUGAAAUUUUUAUAAAUUAUGAUUGAAUUCAUAACUAUAAAGAGUUAUAGUCUCGUUAUUUAAAAUUUCAAGCAUGGGAAUUAGAAUUAAAGAGUCGGGUAGCUUGAGAAUGCUGCCUUAAUAUAGGUGGUACACCCCAUCUAAAGCUAAAUAUUGUAAAGAGACCGAUAGCAUACAAGUAGUGUGAACGAAAGAUGAAAAGAACUCCUAAACGGAGAAUUAAAAGCGCCUGAACUUGUCUAGGUUUUCGCAUUUCUUUAAUGCGCCCGUCUUGAAACACGGAUUAGGGAGUUUUACUUAAAUACGAGUCUUUAACUUUUAAAGUAAUUUUUUAAAAAAGGCGAAAAGAAAUUAACUGGUUUUUUAACAUGGCUAUAGAGUAUUUAAGUCAAAACCCGAAUGGAGGUGAACUAUUCCUGCAAAGAUUGAAGUCAGGGGAAACUCUGAUGGAAGAUCGUUGGCGUUAUUGAUGUGCAAAUCAUUUGCUUUAUGUAGGUAUAGGUGCGAAAGACUCAUCGAACCUCCUAAUAGCUGGUUUCCUCCGAAGUUUCCCUCAGGAUAGCUGUAACAUUUUUAAAUAGUUAAGGAUAGUAGAGAAAUGGGUAGAGGUGUAGUGGAACUACGGUUCUGCAACUUAUUUCCAAACUUCGAACGUUCUUGAUAUAAAAAAUUACCUAAUAGGAAUUUUUUAUUUAAAUAUAUGUUAUAAGUGGGCUCUGACCGGUAAGCGGUCAUGGCGAAAAGGGAUGAACCUAACGUAUAAAUAAGGUGCCUAAAUUUACUAACAAUGAAACCAUUAAAAGAGUCCAUGUAUUUAGACAGCGGGUCGGUGCCCCUAAAAGCAGGUAUCCGUUAAUGAGUGUGUUAAAACUCCCCCGCCGAAUACUCUGGCCUUGAAAAUGAAUGGCGCAUAUAGUAAUACCGAUAUUAUACAUUAAAAUUAUUUAAAAAUUUUAAAAGUAGGGGGAUGUGGAUAUCUUAGCGAAUUUUUAAUUGUAAAAUUGAAUUGAAAGAUAUCUAUUACAGAUCCUAAUUGAAGUAGCGAUUAUCCAGGUUAAUCUCCUGGGGGCUGAUGAGGAGUAGGGUUUCUGGGCAACUUAAACGGACCCAGAGUUAGUCGAUCCUAAUCAAAUUAAAUUUAGAGAAAGGGAAUAUGAAUGAUAUUUCAUAACUAAAAUUAAUUUUUAAAUGGUGACAUUUUUUUAAACUUAUUUCCAUCAAUUAAAUACUGUUUAAUAGGGAUUUCUUUCCUAUAUAACUUUUUAAUUAAAACUUAAGAAACAGGUUAACUGGAGAAUAAAGUUUUAAUUUAGUAAAAUUAUAAUUUCGAUUAUAAUAACGGCUAUUUAAAUGAUCCAUGAAACGAUAAGUUUAUUUUUUCAAAAAUUAAUUUAAUCGUACCGAUAACCGCAUCAGGUCUCCAAGGUGAGUAGCUUCUGGCCAUUGAGUAAUGGUAAUUUAGGGAAUUCGGCCAAUUAGAGCUGUAACUUCGGGAUAAAGCUUGGCUCUGAUGGAAAUCAGAACCGAUAGUUACAAGGAGAGCCCAACUGUUUAAUAAAAACUUAGUGUCGCGUCAUACCUUUAUAAGUAAUAAACGUGACAUGAAUCCUGCUCAGUGCUGUGUUUGUUAAACUGGAUUAAUCCAUUUAAGCGCCGGUAAAUAGCUGGGGUAACUAUGACUCUUAUCAAAGUAGCGAAAUACCUCGUCACUUAAUUAGUGACCUGCAUGAACGGAGCUAUGAGGUUCUCACUGUCCCAAAUUAUCACUCAGCGAACCAACAGUUGUGGGAACGGGCACAAAUUAUCCAGCGGGGAAAGA
Molecule: ribosomal RNA, 2209 nt
Filed under: human gut metagenome
Description: eukaryotic LSU rRNA
Rfam family: Eukaryotic large subunit ribosomal RNA (bases 226-2209)
Source: RNAcentral